RNAcentral lists this ribosomal RNA (301 nucleotides) under uncultured bacterium. RNAcentral's name for it is "partial 16S ribosomal RNA". It matches the Rfam family "Bacterial small subunit ribosomal RNA", at positions 509 to 807 of the family's 1533-position model. The record is from RNAcentral.
CAGCAGCCGCGGGAAUACGAAGGGUGCAAGCGUUAAUCGGAAUUACUGGGCGCAAAGCGUGCGUAGGCGGUUUGUUAAGUCUGCUGUGAAAUCCCCGGGCUCAACCUGGGAAUGGCAAUGGAUACUGGCAAGCUAGAGUGUGUCAGAGGAUGGUGGAAUUCCCGGUGUAGCGGUGAAAUGCGUAGAGAUCGGGAGGAACAUCAGUGGCGAAGGCGGCCAUCUGGGACAACACUGACGCUGAGGCACGAAAGCGUGGGGAGCAAACAGGAUUAGAUACCCCGGUAGUCCCUGUCUCUUAUAC